This 525-nucleotide ribosomal RNA is filed under the name Fusarium cf. solani 17296. RNAcentral's name for it is "eukaryotic LSU rRNA". The stretch from base 167 to 320 matches the Rfam family "5.8S ribosomal RNA". Lineage: Eukaryota; Fungi; Ascomycota; Sordariomycetes; Hypocreales; Nectriaceae. The record is from RNAcentral.
GCGGAGGGAUCAUUACCGAGUUAUACAACUCAUCAACCCUGUGAACAUACCUAAAACGUUGCCUCGGCGGGAACAGACGGCCCCGUAACACGGGCCGCCCCCGCCAGAGGACCCCCUAACUCUGUUUCUAUAAUGUUUUUUCUGAGUAAACAAGCAAAUAAAUCAAAACUUUCAACAACGGAUCUCUUGGCUCUGGCAUCGAUGAAGAACGCAGCGAAAUGCGAUAAGUAAUGUGAAUUGCAGAAUUCAGUGAAUCAUCGAAUCUUUGAACGCACAUUGCGCCCGCCAGUAUUCUGGCGGGCAUGCCUGUUCGAGCGUCAUUACAACCCUCAGGCCCCCGGGUCUGGCGUUGGGGAUCGGCGGAAGCCCCCUGUGGGCACAACGCCGUCCCCCAAAUACAGUGGCGGUCCCGCCGCAGCUUCCAUUGCGUAGUAGCUAACACCUCGCAACUGGAGAGCGGCGCGGCCACGCCGUAAAACACCCAACUUCUGAAUGUUGACCUCGGAUCAGGUAGGAAUACCCGCU